Molecule: ribosomal RNA, 1204 nt
Filed under: human gut metagenome
Description: bacterial SSU rRNA
Rfam family: Bacterial small subunit ribosomal RNA
Source: RNAcentral
AGAGUUUGAUCCUGGCUCAGGAUGAACGCUAGCUACAGGCUUAACACAUGCAAGUCGAGGGGCAUCAGGAAGAAAGCUUGCUUUCUUUGCUGGCGACCGGCGCACGGGUGAGUAACACGUAUCCAACCUGCCCUUUACUCGGGGAUAGCCUUUCGAAAGAAAGAUUAAUACCCGAUAGCAUAAUGAUUCCGCAUGGUUUCAUUAUUAAAGGAUUCCGGUAAAGGAUGGGGAUGCGUUCCAUUAGGUUGUUGGUGAGGUAACGGCUCACCAAGCCUUCGAUGGAUAGGGGUUCUGAGAGGAAGGUCCCCCACAUUGGAACUGAGACACGGUCCAAACUCCUACGGGAGGCAGCAGUGAGGAAUAUUGGUCAAUGGGCGCUAGCCUGAACCAGCCAAGUAGCGUGAAGGAUGAAGGCUCUAUGGGUCGUAAACUUCUUUUAUAUAAGAAUAAAGUGCAGUAUGUAUACUGUUUUGUAUGUAUUAUAUGAAUAAGGAUCGGCUAACUCCGUGCCAGCAGCCGCGGUAAUACGGAGGAUCCGAGCGUUAUCCGGAUUUAUUGGGUUUAAAGGGAGCGUAGGUGGACUGGUAAGUCAGUUGUGAAAGUUUGCGGCUCAACCGUAAAAUUGCAGUUGAUACUGUCAGUCUUGAGUACAGUAGAGGUGGGCGGAAUUCGUGGUGUAGCGGUGAAAUGCUUAGAUAUCACGAAGAACUCCGAUUGCGAAGGCAGCUCACUGGACUGCAACUGACACUGAUGCUCGAAAGUGUGGGUAUCAAACAGGAUUAGAUACCCUGGUAGUCCACACAGUAAACGAUGAAUACUCGCUGUUUGCGAUAUACAGUAAGCGGCCAAGCGAAAGCAUUAAGUAUUCCACCUGGGGAGUACGCCGGCAACGGUGAAACUCAAAGGAAUUGACGGGGGCCCGCACAAGCGGAGGAACAUGUGGUUUAAUUCGAUGAUACGCGAGGAACCUUACCCGGGCUUAAAUUGCAGUGGAAUGAUGUGGAAACAUGUCAGUGAGCAAUCACCGCUGUGAAGGUGCUGCAUGGUUGUCGUCAGCUCGUGCCGUGAGGUGUCGGCUUAAGUGCCAUAACGAGCGCAACCCUUAUCUUCAGUUACUAACAGGUCAUGCUGAGGACUCUGGAGAGACUGCCGUCGUAAGAUGUGAGGAAGGUGGGGAUGACGUCAAAUCAGCACGGCCCUUACG